Non-coding RNA from Biomphalaria pfeifferi, 230 nucleotides. NCBI's taxonomy places the organism in Eukaryota, Metazoa, Mollusca, Gastropoda, Planorbidae. The record is from the annotation of a GenBank genome assembly.
AAGGAUUUUGUUUUAUGUUCUAACAAUGAGUCUUUUUAUAAAGAUAUGUAGCCUGUUACCCAGGGCGUACCCUUAUGUAAUCUAUUUAUAAUGAAUACAUAUACUCUCAGUUUAUUGUUUCAUAAAUGGUGACAUUUUUAAGAACAAAAUCGACAUUCAUAUUUAGCUUUAGAAACUAUAUUUUUUCACUCAGAAGAUAAAAAGAGCAGCUGCAUCCUAAUUUUUCAAGA